RNAcentral lists this ribosomal RNA (791 nucleotides) under uncultured bacterium. Its description in RNAcentral is "bacterial SSU rRNA". It matches the Rfam family "Bacterial small subunit ribosomal RNA", at positions 61 to 865 of the family's 1533-position model. The record is from RNAcentral.
GUCGAACGAGAGAGAGGGAGCUUGCUUCCUUGAUCGAGUGGCGAACGGCCGAGUAACGCGUGAGGAACCUGCCUCAAAGAGGGGGACAACAGUUGGAAACGACUGCUAAUACCGCAUAAGCCCACGGUGCCGCAUGGCACAGAGGAAAAAGGAGCAAUCCGCUUUGAGAUGGCCUCGCGUCCGAUUAGCUAGUUGGUGAGGUAACGGCCCACCAAGGCGACGAUCGGUAGCCGGACUGAGAGGUUGAACGGCCACAUUGGGACUGAGACACGGCCCAGACUCCUACGGGAGGCAGCAGUGGGGAAUAUUGCACAAUGGGGGAAACCCUGAUGCAGCGACGCCGCGUGGAGGAAGAAGGUCUUCGGAUUGUAAACUCCUGUUGUUGAGGAAGAUAAUGACGGUACUCAACAAGGAAGUGACGGCUAACUACGUGCCAGCAGCCGCGGUAAAACGUAGGUCACAAGCGUUGUCCGGAAUUACUGGGUGUAAAGGGAGCGCAGGCGGGCGAUCAAGUUGGAAGUGAAAUCCAUGGGCUCAACCCAUGAACUGCUUUCAAAACUGGUCGUCUUGAGUAGUGCAGAGGUAGGCGGAAUUCCCGGUGUAGCGGUGGAAUGCGUAGAUAUCGGGAGGAACACCAGUGGCGAAGGCGGCCUACUGGGCACCAACUGACGCUGAGGCUCGAAAGUGUGGGUAGCAAACAGGAUUAGAUACCCUGGUGGUCCACACCGUAAACGAUGAUUACUAGGUGUUGGGAGAUUGACCCUCUCAGCGCCGCAGUUAACACAAUAAGU